AACAUCGCGCACCUGCGGGAACCUGCGGAGGGAUCAUUAACGAGUUUGAAAACGGAAGUCUGUUGCUGGUGCGGAAACGCACAUUGUGCACGACUUCUGUGCUCAAUCCAUUUCAACCCCUCUGUGCACCUUAUCGAAGCGGACUAGUUCUCUCUCUUUCUUUUGCUGGUUGUAUGCGCAAUAGAUUACGAGUAGUGAGUAAGGCGAACGCGGUUUUUCCGCUACUAGUUUGAAAUCGAA
RNAcentral lists this unclassified non-coding RNA (240 nucleotides) under soil metagenome. RNAcentral describes it as "partial contains 5.8S ribosomal RNA, internal transcribed spacer 2, and large subunit ribosomal RNA". The record is from RNAcentral.